ACGUAGGGUGCGAGCGUUAAUCGGAAUUACUGGGCGUAAAGCGUGCGCAGGCGGCUGUGCAAGACAGGUGUGAAAUCCCCGGGCUUAACCUGGGAACUGCACUUGUGACUGCAUGGCUAGAGUGCGUCAGAGGGAGAUGGAAUUCCGCGUGUAGCAGUGAAAUGCGUAGAUAUGCGGAGGAACACCAGUGGCGAAGGCGAUUCCCUGGAUCGGUUCUGACGCUCAGGCGCGAAAGCGAGGGUAGCAAACGG
This 251-nucleotide ribosomal RNA is filed under the name uncultured prokaryote. RNAcentral describes it as "partial 16S ribosomal RNA". It matches the Rfam family "Bacterial small subunit ribosomal RNA", at positions 525 to 775 of the family's 1533-position model. The record is from RNAcentral.